This 1344-nucleotide ribosomal RNA is filed under the name uncultured bacterium. RNAcentral's name for it is "16S ribosomal RNA". It matches the Rfam family "Bacterial small subunit ribosomal RNA", at positions 28 to 1378 of the family's 1533-position model. The record is from RNAcentral.
GACGAACGCUGGCGGCGUGCUUAACACAUGCAAGUCGAACGGAAAGGCCCUGCUUUUGUGGGGUGCUCGAGUGGCGAACGGGUGAGUAACACGUGAGUAACCUGCCCUUGACUUUGGGAUAACUUCAGGAAACUGGGGCUAAUACCGGAUAGGAGCUCCUGCCGCAUGGUGGGGGUUGGAAAGUUUCGGCGGUUGGGGAUGGACUCGCGGCUUAUCAGCUUGUUGGUGGGGUAGUGGCUUACCAAGGCUUUGACGGGUAGCCGGCCUGAGAGGGUGACCGGCCACAUUGGGACUGAGAUACGGCCCAGACUCCUACGGGAGGCAGCAGUGGGGAAUAUUGCACAAUGGGCGGAAGCCUGAUGCAGCAACGCCGCGUGCGGGAUGACGGCCUUCGGGUUGUAAACCGCUUUCGCCUGUGACGAAGCGUGAGUGACGGUAAUGGGUAAAGAAGCACCGGCUAACUACGUGCCAGCAGCCGCGGUGAUACGUAGGGUGCGAGCGUUGUCCGGAUUUAUUGGGCGUAAAGGGCUCGUAGGUGGUUGAUCGCGUCGGAAGUGUAAUCUUGGGGCUUAACCCUGAGCGUGCUUUCGAUACGGGUUGACUUGAGGAAGGUAGGGGAGAAUGGAAUUCCUGGUGGAGCGGUGGAAUGCGCAGAUAUCAGGAGGAACACCAGUGGCGGAGGGCGGGUCUCUGGCCCUUUCCUGACGCUGAGGAGCGAAAGCGUGGGGAGCGAACAGGCUUAGAUACCCUGGUAGUCCACGCUGUAAACGGUGGGUACUAGGUGUGGGGUCCAUUCCACGGGUUCCGUGCCGUAGCUAACGCUUUAAGUACCCCGCCUGGGGAGUACGGCCGCAAGGCUAAAACUCAAAGGAAUUGACGGGGCCCCGCACAAGCGGCGGAGCAUGCGGAUUAAUUCGAUGCAACGCGUAGAACCUUACCUGGGUUUGACAUGGAUCGGGAGUGCUCAGAGAUGGGUGUGCCUCUUUUGGGGUCGGUUCACAGGUGGUGCAUGGCUGUCGUCAGCUCGUGUCGUGAGAUGUUGGGUUAAGUCCCGCAACGAGCGCAACCCUUGUUCACUGUUGCCAGCACGUUAUGGUGGGGACUCAGUGGAGACCGCCGGGGUCAACUCGGAGGAAGGUGGGGAUGACGUCAAGUCAUCAUGCCCCUUAUGUCCAGGGCUUCACGCAUGCUACAAUGGCUGGUACAGAGAGUGGCGAGCCUGUGAGGGUGAGCGAAUCUCGGAAAGCCGGUCUCAGUUCGGAUUGGGGUCUGCAACUCGACCUCAUGAAGUCGGAGUCGCUAGUAAUCGCAGAUCAGCAACGCUGCGGUGAAUACGUUCCCGGG